AUUGAUGAUGGCUGUGAUACAGACAGUUGAAAAGUAAGAUCUCUGCAACUGUGUCGUCCAUACACACUUACAAUCAUCCACCCUUCUGACCAACGGCAGGAUUUGGAAACAUUCAUCACAAACUUCGGUUUGAACCUCAACCAGACUGAUUGUUGUUGGGUGUAGGAGUUAGCCGCCCUCUCACAAAGCAAUAAUCCAUUCAGGAGGAGGAUGAAUUUUCUCCCUUUGCUGUCACGGGUGUGCUGCGUCGGCGCGUUGACGUCAAAUGAUGUUUAGCAUAAAACCUCAAGCAGCCCGAUCGCACAGACAUUGCUGGCCUCCAGAAACCAGAUAUUGUUAGAGGCAGCAUACAAUGGCGCAGAUAUGAUUAAGACAUUAAGAUUCUGCAUUAGGAGGAAUCCCUCUGAAACCAAGAUCAGGAGAAAUGUCUUGCCAAGCACCAUGAAGGACAGCACACAGACUUUCCCUCCUUUUUUUUCAAGAGCUGACCAUGGCUAGGCUAGGACCUCAAAGUUGCAGCCAUGAAGGAUGUUUGAUGGAUUUGUUUAGCAUUUUCUUGAAACACUUGAAGCCUACAAAGUGCCUUCUCAUCAGAAGAGGAUUUAAUAAUUGUGUUCAAUAGUUGGAUAAAUGCUGUGCUGGUACCUCUUCAGCCAGACAGCUUUCAUGUGAAGACAACAAUAUGGACACAGGCAAGUAUUUCUCUCCGCGACUUCUGGAUUACCUUGUCAUAGCUGGCAGCCGGCAUCCAAAUAGCAACAACCAUGUCUCACAGACUCCAGAGCUGUUACGACGCUAUCCCUUGGAAGACCACAAAGACUUUGCCCUGCCUAAUGAUGUCAUCUUUUUCUGCCAACCAGAGGGGUGCAUCAGUGUUGGACCAAAGCGCAUGAGCCUCAGAGAAACCACUUCUUUUGUCUUCACGUUAACAGAAAAGGAUUCUGGCAUUGUUCGCUAUGGAGUAUGUGUCAACUUUUAUAGGCCUUUUGAAAAGCGCAUGCAUUCAUCAGAAUGUUGGCAGAAGGUGGAUCGUUCGUCCACAGGUAGCACUCACUCUGUAGAAACAUUAAGUUCAUCAGAAUGUGACCGUCCACGCUCACCAAGGGCUCGGCGAAAGUCAAGAGUCCGCAACAACACCUUGACCUCACUAUGCAUCAUCAGCCACCAUCCCUUUUUCUCCACAUUUCGAGAGUGUCUGUUUAUUCUUCGUCGCCUAAUUGAGGCCUGCCAUGAUCGUAGCUGUGUACGGAGGGUUGGAGGAUCCAAAGCUACUGCCAGGGACACAGUAUGGGGGGUGCUGACAGGUCAAACCAGUGAAAAUAUUUCUACACUGGUUAUGCAUGAAGUUCGUGAGAUUGAAACAUGGAUUCUUCGACUGCUCAGUGCACCAGUUCCAGUACCAGGCAAGACACGUGUAGAGGUGAAUGUGCUUCCCAAGGAGCUGCAGGCACCUUUGCUGUUUGCACUGCCAGACCACACUCGAUUUAGCCUUGUGGAUUUCCCUUUGCAUUUGCCACUUGAGCUGCUAGGCGUGGACACUUGCCUGAAGGUUCUCACUGCAAUUAUGUUGGAGCACAAGGUGAUUCUACAGUCUCGAGACUACAAUGCACUGACAAUGAGUGUCAUGGCGUUUGUGUCUAUGCUUUAUCCACUGGAGUAUAUGUUUCCAGUCAUACCCCUUCUGCCAACUUGCAUGGCCUCUGCAGAACAGCUACUACUGGCUCCCACCCCAUUUUUGAUUGGUGUGCCUGCCAGCUUUUUUCGCUAUAAGCGGGAUUUUCCACUGCCUGAUGAUAUUUGGAUUGUUGAUUUGGAUGCAAACAAAAUUACUUCACCACCUAACGCAGACCCACUGCCUCCACUUCCUGAACCAGAAUGCACUGGUCUCAAAACACACCUUAAACAGGCUCUGGCCAGCAUGAGUAUGACUCCACAGCCUAUCAAAAAUCUUGAUGCUAUUGCUCAGAAUCCAGAGAUGUGGCAGCGUCGUGAAAGUUUUUCAUCUCAGACUGGAUUUAACCCUCUCAUUUAUGGCAAUGAUGUGGAUUCUGUAGAUGUGGCAACACGUGUAGCUAUGGUACGCUUUUUCAACUCACCUAAUAUCUUGGGCAACUUCACUGAGCAUACUCGCACAUUACGGCUCUACCCACGGCCAGUAGUGGCCUUCCAACUGUACAGUUUUAUGAAGUCACGGCCACAGCGCACACAUUUCACUGCACGACUUGCUCGCACCCAGGCAGUGGAGUAUUUCGCAGAAUGGUCACUUUGUCCUAACAAUCUGGUGUAUCAGCGAGUUCAGACAGCAGUUUAUGACCCUUCUUUGAUUGGUGAUAAGCCCAAAUGGUAUGCCCAGCAUCUGCAACCUGUUGAGUUUCAUGUGUAUGACAACUCUUCAUCGCUGGCUGCAGCUAUCACAUCUGUCAGUGAAACAUUGAGUGACGAUAUACCAACAGAUGAAAGUGGAAGUGACAGUGAGGGAGCAGAGAGCACCAGUUCAAGCUAUUCUUCUUUGUCUGAUCUUAUUGCGGAAAUGACCAACAGUGAGAUUGAUGGGGAAACACCUUCCUUUGUGCCUGAGAAUCAGAUUCUGGCUGUGGAUGAAGCCAAGGUGUUCUGUCCCCCUGACAAACUGCAUGUUCCUGAAGCCCCAUCCACCAACAGCGACUCGGCCUUCUCUCUGCAGGAGGACAGCGACAUGAGUUCCUCCGAGUCAUCAAGUGCAGCAUCCAGCCCUGAACCCCAUGAUGUGCAGACCAAAGACUCAGAAGAACAUAAGAUUUUCAGAUAUGAUUCAGGAAACAUCACGGAAACAACAUAUUCUCUAAGCAGCAUGAGUCGUACAGAUCUGCCAGGAAGUCCACACAGUCCUAGAAGUCCUGCAGCUGCCCAUCAGGUAUCUCCUGCACAUCUUGGUUCUCAAGGGAGUGUAAGAGGUAAUGUGCCCAUUUCUCAUGGGGAACAAUUAGAAAAGACUCAGCUCUUACCUCCACCACAAGGACACAGAACUCCCUCCCCGCGUCCACAUCUUGGGAGUUUCUCUAGUGGUGGAUCCAGCUCAUCCACCAAAAAAGGCUUUAGGGGAGGGUCAGACACUGGGUCAGAAAGAGGAUCUGGUCAGUCUAUUAUCUCCACCAUCAGCAAUGAGCUUACAGACAUUGCCCAUUCUGCAACCAAUACUGUUACAGAACUUUUCAGCUCCAAUAAAAACCCACCUUCCAAUUCCCAGCCAGUGCCAAAACAAGUCAACAAACCUUUUACACCACUGGGAAACCGGAAAGCUCUAGUAGAAAAGUCUGGUCUUGUCAAGCAUGCAACAAAUAUCAAACAAAGGGAUCAGCCCAAACCUACUGCAGCAGAACCAAGAGGAUCCACAAACAGUGAGAAUCAGCAAUUUUUGAAAGAAGUUAUUAACGGGGUGCUAGAUGGACAGGGUGUCAGCUGGCUUAAAAUCAGUCGCAUCAAAAAGCUUAUGGAAGAUGAGAACUAUCGCAACUUUGUAGUCUCCCGGCUGAACCGUAACCUAGAUAAAAAGGUGCCUGAAGAUGCUCGCCAUAUUGAAGAUGUUUGUUUGUCACGGCCUGUAUUCAAAGGCAUGCUGGGUAUGUGCAAAGCCAUCAUCUCAGGUCUUGAACACACUAUUCAGAACCAUGGUCUUGGUGGCAUGGCAUCAGCUUACAUGGUACUUGAGAUUGCUCACACACACUAUUGGGCGCGUGACAUCAAUUCUACCAAAAGUGAUGCAUCAUCAUUACAUGGAAGCCAAGAGAGCCUGCACUCCAAAGAGGAACUUUCAAUGCGGCCUGAUCUUCGACGGCAUUCUGAUGACCAGGUUGCAUCAGCUUCUAGCCUCAUGGCACCAGGCUUGUGGUCUCCCAUCAGCGGCCACUCUCCCAGCCCCAUCUCCCAGUACUCUGUUUCCCCAGUUGACCAUCCCUCCCCAUGGCCUGAUUACCAGGCAGGUUCAUCAGUUAUUGUGAACGGUGAUGAGUUUGAAAACAUUGAGCUUGCUCGACAAUCAUCCCAGGACCAAACACGAAGUAGCUUGGGCCCACCAGCAGAAGUCUCACCACAUCAUGUCCACCACCACCCAUCUCAUCAUCCUCCACCUACAGAAUAUCAAUUUCAGGGUGACCCACUAGGAGUGAUGACAGAUCUAAACCGUAACAUCGGCAAGUCAACACAGGCAUCAGCUUGUGACAUUGUCAUAACAGAUGCUGAUGUUAACAAUACCAGUGGUGACAUGUUGCGAGAAAUGGUAAAAAACAAGGAGCUCUUGAGGUCAUCUCGUUUAGACAAAAAAUUCAACAGUGUAGACUCAGAGAUCUCAGAAGCCUCUACACUUGUUAGCACAUCUUCAGACAAAGAAGGCGAGAAGAGUCGUGGUCGUAUCUCUCACCAGGCCAUAAGAGGAGCCAUGUCUGAUAGUGAGAUGGAUGCAAUGUCUGGUGUUGGCCGGAGGCGAAGUCGAUCUUCCAGUUUGUGGAGCAAUAAGAGUAACUUUUCAACUGGCUACCGCUACCAUGAUAGUAAACUUGUUCAUACAAGCACAGCACCUAACACAGAUGUGGGCAAAACCUACCUGUUUGAAGGACUUAUUGCAAAGGACCGCAGUCGCAUGUGGGACCAAAUGCAGUUUUGGGAAGACAUGUUUCUGGAUGCUGUGGCUCAAGAGCGAGACAUCAUUGGGAUGGACCAAAGGCCCUCUGAGAUGAUGGAAAGGUACAAUUCCCUUGGUGAUACUGAAAAGAAGAGGCUGGAACAAGAUGAGGACCGCCUCUUGUCUGUCAUGCUGUACAAUCUUGUGGGGUUCAUGCUUAUGAUGCGUGUUCCAAAAGCGGAGGUCAAAAAGAAGGUGCGGCGGCUGUUGGGCAAGUCCCAUAUUGGUCUUCACCACAGUCAGGAUGUGAACAAUCUCCUGGAUGUCAUCACACAUCUGCAAGGAAAUGAUAUUGAUUUAAAGCCGAUGGGCAGCAGGCAAAUGCAGAAACAGUCUUUUACCGUCCACUGGGGGACGGACAAUACUGGAGAUAUGCUGUUUAUGGAGGUUUGUGAUGACUGCCUGUUGCUGCGGAAUGUGACUGGAAUGAUUCAUGAUAGGUGGUGGUUUGAGAAGCUGGUCAACAUGACCUACUGUCCGAAAACAAAAGUUUUAUGCCUGUGGCGCAAGAAUGGUGAAAAGGUGCAGCUUAACCAGUUCUACACCAAGAAGUGCCGGGAGCUGUACUUUUCUGUAAAAGAAGCCAUGGAGAAAGCAGCAUCCAGGACCACUGGUCGUAUCCCAGGGCCAGAGCUGGGAGGAGAAUUUCCUGUUCAGGACUUGAAGAGUGGUCAAGGGGGUCUUCUUCAAGUCUGCAUGGAGGGCAUAGGACUCUUGCUGGCCAACAGCAAGAUUCCAAAACAAAGCAAGUGAUUCAGCACAAAUUCAAAUCCAGUAUGGCUAACGAAACAGCAGUAAUGUUCCACAGGAUUAUUAGUGUGCAUUGGGCCAAACCUCAGGACACCAAGAUUAAACGCUGACCAGAUAUGCUAUGCAGUGCUCUGUCUUUUCUCGUACAUUGCCGCUGGUAUGGAGCAACGC
RNAcentral lists this unclassified non-coding RNA (5578 nucleotides) under Pomacea canaliculata. Its description in RNAcentral is "mAP kinase-activating death domain protein-like, transcript variant X9". Lineage: Eukaryota; Metazoa; Mollusca; Gastropoda; Architaenioglossa; Ampullariidae. The record is from RNAcentral.